UACGUAGGGUGCAAGCGUUAAUCGGAAUUACUGGGCGUAAAGCGUGCGCAGGCGGUUCGCUAAGACCGAUGUGAAAUCCCCGGGCUUAACCUGGGAACUGCAUUGGUGACUGGCGGGCUAGAGUAUGGCGGAGGGGGGUAGAAUUCCACGUGUAGCAGUGAAAUGCGUAGAGAUGUGGAGGAAUACCGAUGGCGAAGGCAGCCCCCUGGGCCAAUACUGACGCUCAUGCACGAAAGCGUGGGGAGCAAACAGG
This 253-nucleotide ribosomal RNA is filed under the name uncultured bacterium. Its description in RNAcentral is "partial 16S ribosomal RNA". It matches the Rfam family "Bacterial small subunit ribosomal RNA", at positions 524 to 776 of the family's 1533-position model. The record is from RNAcentral.